UUGCCAGCAUUCAGUUGGGCACUCUAAGGUGACUCCCGGUGACAAACCGGAGGAAGGCGGGGAUGACGUCAAAUCAUCAUGCCCCUUAUGACCUGGGCUACACACGUGCUACAAUGGAUGGUACAGAGGGCAGCGAGACCGCGAGGUCAAGCAAAUCUCAAAAAACCAUUCUCAGUUCGGAUUGCAGGCUGCAACUCGCCUGUAUGAAGCCGGAAUCGCUAGUAAUCGCAGGUCAGCAUACUGCGGUGAAUACGUUCCCGGGCCUUGUACACACCGCCCGUCACACCACGAGAGUUGGCAACACCCGAAGUCGGUGAGGUAACCUUUUUGGAGCCAGCCGCCGAAGGUGG
This 350-nucleotide ribosomal RNA is filed under the name Pontibacillus marinus. Its description in RNAcentral is "bacterial SSU rRNA". It matches the Rfam family "Bacterial small subunit ribosomal RNA", at positions 1115 to 1465 of the family's 1533-position model. Lineage: Bacteria; Bacillati; Bacillota; Bacilli; Caryophanales; Bacillaceae. The record is from RNAcentral.